CACAUGCAAGUCGAGCGAGAACCUUUUCUAGCUUGCUAGAAAAGAAGAAAGCGGCGAACGGGUGAGUAACGUGUUGGUAUCUGCCCCCCAGUCAGGGAUAGCCCAGGGAAACUUGGCUUAAUACCGGAUAGCUGGUAACAGUAAAGAUUUAUUGCUGGGGGAGGAGCCUACAUUCUAUCAGCUAGUUGGUGAGGUAAUAGCUCACCAAGGCGAUGACGGAUAGCUGGUCUGAGAGGAUGACCAGCCACAAUGGAACUGAGACACGGUCCAUACUCCUACGGGAGGCAGCAGUGAGGAAUCUUCCACAAUGGACGCAAGUCUGAUGGAGCGACACCGCGUGAAGGAUGAAGGUCUAACGAUUGUAAACUUCUUUUCUGAGGGAGGAUAAUGACAGUACCUCAGGAAUAAGGGGCGGCUAAUUAUGUGCCAGCAGCCGCGGUAAUACAUAAGCCCCGAGCAUUACUCGGAAUUAUUGGGU
This 478-nucleotide ribosomal RNA is filed under the name uncultured bacterium. RNAcentral describes it as "bacterial SSU rRNA". It matches the Rfam family "Bacterial small subunit ribosomal RNA", at positions 52 to 559 of the family's 1533-position model. The record is from RNAcentral.